This is a non-coding RNA of Sus scrofa (pig), 1055 nucleotides long. NCBI's taxonomy places the organism in Eukaryota, Metazoa, Chordata, Mammalia, Artiodactyla, Suidae. The record is from RefSeq and is a predicted model, not a curated record.
CCCAAACUGCGCACAAUAGCUCGCCGGCUCCUCUAUCUAUUUUGUGUCCAGCCGGGAGCCGCGCUCGGUGAUUCAUUGCCCCAAUUAGGGGGCUCUCUCCAGCGCGCCAGGCUCGAGCCGUCUGAAGGGUCUCCUCCGGGACCCGCGAAAACCCAUCAGCCGCUAGAGCUGGUCUUUAAGUAAAGGUCAGGCAGGACGCCGGAGGAGCCAGGACCUGACUCUGGUGGUCCUGAAAAGCCACGACAGAUGCUCGCGGCAGCCCCCGCGCUGGCAGCGGGGAGACAACACCCACCUCGGGGCCGGAGGAGACCAGAAGGCCGUCAGCGCGGAACAUCUGGGCACAUCUCAAAUGUGCGGCUUCCUGUAGGGUCGCCUUGGCCCGGAAACCACAGGAAUCUGCCCUCGCGCUGUGGGGGAGAGCGAGUUUCCAGGCUCUGAGCACUUAUCACACGUCGUUUUGUGUGUCUGCCUCUGGGUGGCUUCCCCUGCACUGUCCCACGGCGUCACAGGGCCAGGGACACGGCUGGGGCCUGAUCCACGCUUGAACAGGGGUUGCCAGACUCUAUCCAAAACCUCACGGCGCUUUCCAAGUUCCAGCAUCGCCUGGCUGCUCCCGGCAGCUUCCAGUCUUGCAUUUCUCCUGCUGCCAGUGAUUCAGACCAAAGCCUUCCACGUGCCCCCUGCCUCCCCCGACCCCAUCAGCUGACUUCCCUUCUCACUGGUACCCGCGCCCGUUUCCUCCUCCCUCCACCCACAUACCCCCCCCCCAGGACCCGUUUACCUUCGGAAGCUGCUCCCCCCGGUUCCUCUUUUAGAGGCUACGAGCGUGCUGUGUGUUUGGCCUCUGGCUCACGGAGGACCAGAAAAACAAAAUUUAUCAUCUGACUGUCCUAUUUUUUUUUUUUCUUUCUUUCCAUUUUAUUUCCCCCUAAGAAUGAAGCCAGCACUUCGCCGCCAUGCUCCGAGGGAGCAUCAGACAUGGCAGGCCACAGGCAAAAGCGUCUCCUCCUCCUUAGAGAGAAGGAAUGCAGCCGUUAACAAUAAAAAAAAAAAAA